This 364-nucleotide long non-coding RNA is filed under the name Bos taurus (domestic cattle). RNAcentral's name for it is "long non-coding RNA NONBTAT013515". Lineage: Eukaryota; Metazoa; Chordata; Mammalia; Artiodactyla; Bovidae. The record is from RNAcentral.
CCAGAUAUCCGAGCAGAGUUCCAAUGAAUCUGUUUAUGCUUAUUUUCACAGUUUUAUUGCUAACCUUUUCUUGAAUUGUUGUUUCAUUUAAAUGAUGCUGUCAGUUGGUCCAUUGUUGUUUUCAUUUGACAGUUUGGGUUUAUAUUUUUAAAUGUGGGGCUGAAGGUGUGAUUGUAAAGGGAGCUAAUUGGUAGCUGACUUCUAUUAAUAUGGAAUCAUCAGAAUAUGAAAUGGACUUGUUUGACUCUUGUGUAAAUGGCACUUAAGUUCCUCCUCCUCAUCAUUCGAGGUACCAUCACCAACAGAAGAUACUCAGUGAGAUUAGGGGAAUCCCAAAUUGCUAGUUUAUAAUUCUCACUAAUAC